UACGUAGGUGGCGAGCGUUGUCCGGAAUUAUUGGGCGUAAAGAGCGCGUAGGCGGGAUGAUAAGUCUGUUGUAAAAGUGCGGGGCUCAACCCCGUAAGGUCAAUGGAAACUGUCAUUCUUGAGUGCAGGAGAGGAAAGUGGAAUUCCCAGUGUAGCGGUGAAAUGCGUAGAUAUUGGGAGGAACACCAGUGGCGAAGGCGACUUUCUGGACUGUGUCUGACGCUGAGGCGCGAAAGCUAGGGGAG
This 245-nucleotide ribosomal RNA is filed under the name uncultured Veillonellaceae bacterium. Its description in RNAcentral is "partial 16S ribosomal RNA". It matches the Rfam family "Bacterial small subunit ribosomal RNA", at positions 524 to 768 of the family's 1533-position model. Lineage: Bacteria; Bacillati; Bacillota; Negativicutes; Veillonellales; Veillonellaceae. The record is from RNAcentral.